UAACAGAACUAGUUGCUAUUAACAACAGUUAAUAGAGGAAACUCCACGCUCGCACAAUCUGCGAUGAUUGUAGUGUUUGUGCUAAUUUAAUUCAUAAGAUUAGGCAUAAGGGAUCCUUAUGACGGCUGAAAAAAAUCCUAAGUUAUUAUUAAUAUGGAAUUUUUUCUAUAAAAGUGCCACAGAAACGAGUUUUUAAAGAAAUUUAAAAAAUGGAACGGGUAAACCCCACAAGCGAGAAACCUAAAUUUUGGUAAGGGAACUUCUUUUUUUCAAAACAGAAGAAAAUAAGAAGAUCAAUUUUAAAAAAUUGAUAGAUAAAUAACUAGUAUUUUAUUUUAUAAAAUAAAAAAACAGAACGUGGGUUAUGAUG
Non-coding RNA from Spiroplasma poulsonii, 370 nucleotides. NCBI's taxonomy places the organism in Bacteria, Bacillati, Mycoplasmatota, Mollicutes, Entomoplasmatales, Spiroplasmataceae. The record is from Rfam.